Molecule: non-coding RNA, 23 nt
Filed under: Gallus gallus (chicken)
Lineage: Eukaryota; Metazoa; Chordata; Aves; Galliformes; Phasianidae
Also listed under: 2 other names
Source: RNAcentral
UGAGAUGAAGCACUGUAGCUCUA